Molecule: ribosomal RNA, 493 nt
Filed under: uncultured bacterium
Lineage: Bacteria
Description: partial 16S ribosomal RNA
Rfam family: Bacterial small subunit ribosomal RNA
Source: RNAcentral
GAGUGAACGCUGGCGGUAGGCCUAACACAUGCAAGUCGAACGGCAGCACAGUAAGAGCUUGCUCUUACGGGUGGCGAGUGGCGGACGGGUGAGGAAUACAUCGGAAUCUACUUUUUCGUGGGGGAUAACGUAGGGAAACUUACGUUAAUACCGCAUACGACCUACGGGUGAAAGCAGGGGAUCUUCGGACCUUGCGCGAUUGAAUGAGCCGAUGUCGGAUUAGCUAGUUGGCGGGGUAAAGGCCCACCAAGGCGACGAUCCGUAGCUGGUCUGAGAGGAUGAUCAGCCACACUGGAACUGAGACACGGUCCAGACUCCUACGGGAGGCAGCAGUGGGGAAUAUUGGACAAUGGGCGCAAGCCUGAUCCAGCCAUACCGCGUGGGUGAAGAAGGCCUUCGGGUUGUAAAGCCCUUUUGUUGGGAAAGAAAAGCAGCAGGUUAAUACCCCGCUGUUCUGACGGUACCCAAAGAAUAAGCACCGGCUAACUUCGUG